Molecule: long non-coding RNA, 576 nt
Organism: Ostrea edulis (European flat oyster)
Lineage: Eukaryota; Metazoa; Mollusca; Bivalvia; Ostreida; Ostreidae
Exons: 2
Source: RefSeq, a predicted model, not a curated record
UUAACCAGUGGUUAGUAUCCCAUAAUUCAACAAUGGUUGUCUGAACAUGUAAACAAUAAUGGCUGCUGCAAAUGUUACUGAAGCGGACAGCGAACUUUUCACCAAAUGAGACACUAUUCUUAAUUGUACAAGUUAUAUAUUCUGAAGUCAACCGAUGCUGUUAACUCGAAAAGAAAAAAAAGGGGAGGGGUAAACAGUUGAGAAUGUAAAAGAGAUGUACAGGAAGACUUGUUUGAAAGGAAAAGAAAAAGAAACUGUAUGUAGACAACUCACUGAAUAUAAACUGGAGGGUGUCCACCUCCUUUGCUACUCGACCCUGUCUCAUAGAAAAUGAUUUAGAUCCACCGGGUAUCAGUGACUUUAUUCAUCGAGAUUUCAGGAGGAGUUGAGGAUGGAGGUCUCGGUAUUUACGGAAACCAAACGAUAUCUUACAAUGAAAACAUGGUGAGACGGCACAGCUGGGGCUCUACGAGAUCUGUGAUGUACCUGACUGAUUCUUUAGCAAAGAACAUGACCCACAAUAUGCCAUUUUUGGCCUACCAAAUUUGGAAAAAUUAAAGAACACUUUAGAAUAAA